RNAcentral lists this long non-coding RNA (360 nucleotides) under Fukomys damarensis (Damara mole-rat). RNAcentral's name for it is "lncRNA (ENSFDAG00000023489.1)". The record is from RNAcentral. Lineage: Eukaryota; Metazoa; Chordata; Mammalia; Rodentia; Bathyergidae.
CCUUUGUAAAAUAUUACUCUAGUUUACAUUCUGUCUUGUGUUUAUAUGUGGUGAGGACUGUGGUUCCAUGAAUAUAUAUAUAUACUGUGCAGUUUCUGGUCAUGCACAAUCACCACUAGCAUGGACACAUGUAUGAAAAAGCAUCUUCAAAAGCAAAGAUUUAGGAAGGACACCAAAGAGACAGACAGAGAGACUGCCCCUGGAUUACGAUCUUUCAGAAAACCCAGAAAUUGAGAUGACUUUGAAUUACCUGGCAGAAAAAGGUGGGAAGAAACUAUGAAAAUGUUGUUGAAUAAAUAUGGAUUUCAAAACGGACUGAGAAAUGCAUUACCGUCUCCGAAGUGUUUGAGGUGAGUAAAA